Zalophus californianus (California sea lion) is the source of this 951-nucleotide non-coding RNA. The record is from the annotation of a RefSeq genome assembly. NCBI's taxonomy places the organism in Eukaryota, Metazoa, Chordata, Mammalia, Carnivora, Otariidae.
UGCCUUUCACCUGAAAUGGUCACCAGGCUCUUCUUCUGUGUGGCUCUUUGUCUCCUGUGGGCAGGACACAUGGAUGCUGGCAUCACCCAGAGUCCAAGAUACAAGAUAGUGAGCACAGGAAAGAAGACAUCUGUGUACUUCUGUGCCAACAGUUACGGGUGGGAUACCCAGUACUUCGGCGCGGGGACCCGGCUGUCGGUGCUAGAGAACCUGGAAAAGGUCAAACCUCCCACGGUCACAGUGUUUGAACCAUCAGAAGCAGAGACCUCCCGCACCCAGAAGGCCACACUCGUGUGCCUGGCCACGGGCUUCUACCCCGACCACGUGGAGCUGAGCUGGUGGGUGAACGGGAAGGAGGUCCAGAAUGGGGUCAGCACGGACCCGCAGCCCUACAAGGAGCGGCCCAAUGAGAAUGGCUCCAGCUACUGUCUGAGCAGCCGGCUGAGGGUGUCCUCUGCCUUCUGGCACAACCCUCGCAACCACUUUCGCUGCCAAGUCCAGUUCCACGGGCUCGGGGACGACGACAAGUGGGAAAACACCAGCCGGCCCAAACCCAUCACCCAGAACAUCAGUGAUGAGACCUGGGGCAGAGCAGACUGUGGCUUCACUUCAGUGUCCUAUCAGCAGGGCAUCCUGUCUGCCACCAUCCUCUAUGAGAUCCUGCUGGGGAAGGCCACCCUGUAUGCCGUGCUGGUCAGCGCCCUGGUGCUGAUGGCCAAGGUCAAGAGAAAGGGUUCCUGAGACCAGCUCUGAAAAUGCAUCCUGAGUUGCUCAUCAUCCUCACCCUAGAUUCGCCUUGACGUGCUUCCAGUCGGCGUUUCUAAAAGUUAUUCUCUCUCCCCCUCUUAUCUCUUUCCUGAUGGGAUAUCUGUCCCUUCUCUAUGCUUUCCUGCAGACUGAGCUCCUCAACCCUGAAACUGAAAUAGACUUAAUAAAAGUGUCUUGCCAGGC